UGUAAGCGUAUACCAAAGUUGUUGCAGUUAAAACGCUCGUAGUCGGAAUUUGGCAGUUCCGGAUGUGUGCACGUCGUGUGCGCACUUCGCGGGGAUUGCUUUUGUGGUCUUGCGUAGGAUGAGGUACUUUUAUUAGUGAACGUCCUCACGCAACCACUUUUUACUGUGAGAAAAUCAGAGUGCUCAAAGCAGGCAUUUGCCGUGAAUGUAUUAGCAUGGAAUAAUAGAAUAGGACUUGGUUCUAUUUUGUUGGUUUGUUGGGACUGAGUAAUGAUUAAGAGGGACAGUUGGGGGCAUUUGUAUUUCGGUGCUAGAGGUGAAAUUCUUAGAUUACCGAAAGACAAACUGCUGCGAAAGCGUCUGCCAAGGAUGUUUUCAUUGA
RNAcentral lists this ribosomal RNA (382 nucleotides) under uncultured eukaryote. RNAcentral describes it as "partial 18S ribosomal RNA". It matches the Rfam family "Eukaryotic small subunit ribosomal RNA", at positions 592 to 976 of the family's 1831-position model. The record is from RNAcentral.